This 495-nucleotide ribosomal RNA is filed under the name uncultured bacterium. RNAcentral describes it as "partial 16S ribosomal RNA". It matches the Rfam family "Bacterial small subunit ribosomal RNA", at positions 28 to 505 of the family's 1533-position model. The record is from RNAcentral.
GAUGAACGCUGGCGGCGUGCCUAAUACAUGCAAGUCGAGCGAACAGACGAGGAGCUUGCUCCUCUGACGUUAGCGGCGGACGGGUGAGUAACACGUGGAUAACCUACCUAUAAGACUGAGAUAACUUCGGGAAACCGGAGCUAAUACCGGAUAAUAUAUUGAACCGCAUGGUUCAAUAGUGAAAGACGGUUUUGCUGUCACUUAUAGAUGGAUCCGCGCCGCAUUAGCUAGUUGGUAAGGUAACGGCUUACCAAGGAAACGAUGCGUAGCCGACCUGAGAGGGUGAUCGGCCACACUGGAACGAAGACACGGUCCAGACUCCUACGGGAGGCAGCAGUAGGGAAUCUGCCGCAAUGGGCGAAAGCUUGACGGAGCAACGCCGCGUGAGGGAUGAAGGUCUUCGGAUCGUAAAACUCUGUUAUUAGGGAAGAACAAAUGUGUAAGUAACUAUGCACGUCUUGACGGUACCGAAUCAGAAAGCCACGGCUAGCUACG